This is a long non-coding RNA of Dermacentor albipictus, 2386 nucleotides long. RefSeq lists it as uncharacterized. NCBI's taxonomy places the organism in Eukaryota, Metazoa, Arthropoda, Arachnida, Ixodida, Ixodidae. The record is from RefSeq and is a predicted model, not a curated record.
CGUUGUGCCACCGGGCGGCGCUUUCGCUCUUAUCCCUUCGGCUGCCAUUCUCUUCGUUUGCUCCUGCUGCUUUCUGUGCACGUGCACGUUUUUUCGUAUGCUCUGCAGUUAAAAACUUUCUUUCUGUGCCUUCGAAUGUUCCAGCCAUGUCGGAAAAACUGAGGAGAGGAUAGAAAGCUUGCUGCGCGACUGUGUGAUGUGGUAACUCGGGGAGCAACACAAGGGCGAAAUUUUCCCUGUUUCCCAGCGGACCACAGGUGUGACAUAUGGCGAAAUUGUGCUAAAUGGGAAGUCGUGACGGGGCUGACAUGGGAGCAUAUGUAUAACGGCUACGGCCUCUGCUCGAACCACUUCAUAGGAAUUAAGGGACUACGCCGACCCUGUCGUGGUCGGCUGUGCCGACUGUUGAAGUGGAAGAGCGGACCCUGAUCGAUGAAGGUUCUACACCAUCGCAGCGAGGCCAAAAGCGGAAAAUAUACUUACUCACCGGAGACCGCGGGCGUCAUCAACCGACUGAGAGAUGAUACACAAUUAAAUGUAUCGCAAGUCAGCGAAGUUAAAGAGCUGCCGAAAUGUUACCACGAGGGAAGCACUAGAGAAGUUAACGCAUCAUGUGAGCCCAGAGUUCUACCAACUCUUGCAGUGCCAGGUGACGCUCUAUUAUCGCAAGAGGAAGAGAAGGACAUAAAGAAAUGUUUUCUGGAGCACGUCGGUGUGGUCGCGCACUUCUGCGGUGUGCCCACUGUACUGAAAGAUAAGCUAAACAUCAGUCUAUUAUAAGAACUUUUUUGCUCUAAUGAGGGUCGCAUAGACCUGCUGCAGUAGUUCUGCUAUGCGUGGCUUAUGCUGCACAUAAGUGACAUCAAUCUGGAUCUCAAAAACAGCGUGCAAGAAAACCCGCUGCAAAAAGAAAGCCCCAAACGCUUGAAAAAUAAGGAAAAAUGUGUUGCUGCUAUUUUAUUCUUUAAUUCGUAUAGCUAUUAGGGCGAUCUACUGAUUAGCCUAUCUUUAGAAAAUAUUUUGGCAUAUUUCAAUAUUUGCAUAAACAUCGUGCAACGUAUUCUUUGUGCAGACAAUCAUUGCUCCCACACUUGCCCCCUGCUCUUCAAAGGUUAUUACAUAGCUACCAUACAUGGAUCUUGGUAUGCUAGAACCUUCUUGAGCUUACUUCAGUAAAAUUUUGCAAGUACUAAUGUUGCUCGGCACGCUUGACUUCAGUGGUUUCAUUAAUAUGGCAGAAGUGAGAGAGCAGGGCGGGACUCCUUUCGGCAAAGUCAUCAAUAAUCUUAAUAAGCAAAGAAAGCAUGCUGUGCCGGGAACGAGUGUUCAAGAAAAGUUGAAAUGCUUUCGCCUCCUUAUUGUGUCGACACCGAAAGUCUCAUGACGAUGACCUCCAGCCAAUGAUGAUACUCGUAAGCUAGCUGUAACACCUGUCCUAUGCUUCAAACAAGUUACGCGAACCUGAACUUAUAGCCUCUGUUAAAAUGCGUAAUGUACAUUCAGUGUAUUAGAGGAAGGUCGUGAAAACCUUUCAAAAGAGAAUUGUUCUGAGCAGGUUGCCCUGAUGCAUUGAAUGCAGCUGACUUGUGUUGCUUUUAGGAAAUAUUUCAUCUCCCGAAGCUAUGCAUCACUCUGUCCUUGCCCCACCUCUCCUGACGACCAACCGCCGAUUGACACAUGCAUGCUUCUCCUGCAUUUACUGUUUCUCAAGAAAGAACUUAGCGCUAUUUGUUGUUAUUGUCUUGGAACUGUGCCAUUUAUGCCUAGAUGACGGUAGAACAAAGUACAUUACAAAUUUUAAGAAACACCUGCAAUAUGCUCGCGAGGAAUUUCGUAUUGAUACUUUUUUUUCGCAAUGUUACAGAUCUGAAUGAAGCUCUAGUGGUCUUACGUAUUGUAUUGCGAAACAAAGCCAGAUAUGAAAAAAAAAAACUCGGUGCCCUUCCACUCUGUCAAGAAGGAUGACCAGCGAAGUGGUGUAUGUGGGCCCCUUAAUGGCGAACUGCAGCUCCGCCGCGGAUCAGGUCGGCAUUGAACUAUCUUCGGGAUCAGCCCCCGUAUGGGGAGUGUUCAACGCCUGCUUCACCUUCACCGCGGGUCGGGCCGGUAUUGCACUAUCUUCGGGAUCGGCCCGCGUAUGGGGAGUUUUUUUGCUUAUCACGCCAACAACGACACUAAAAUUUCCAUUGACGGCAGAGGUAUACAGCUUCACUGUAAAAAGACUUUAUAGACAUUUUCGGUAUAAUUCGCUGGAUAUUUAUCAGCGCAUGAGCACAAGGAGAGCUAUGCGGAAAAUUGACUAGGUAUAGCAUGUUGGUUUUGGACUAGGAAGUAUACACGUUGUAUGGAAUAAGAAAUAAAGGUUUUAUUACUGGUAUGCGAAAAA